GACGAACGCUGGCGGCGUGCUUAACACAUGCAAGUCGAACGGAGCUGUUUAUUUCGGUAGAUAGCUUAGUGGCAAACGGGUGAGUAACGCGUAGGCACCUGCCCUUAGGAUGGGGACAACGGCCCGAAAGGACCGCUAAUACCGAAUGCACUCUACUUCCGCAUGGAAGAAAGAGGAAAGAUGGUGCAAGCCAUCGCCGAAGGAAGGGCCUGCGUCUGAUUAGCCAGUUGGUGAGGUAACGGCUCACCAAAGCAACGAUCAGUAGCCGGUCUGAGAGGAUGAACGGCCACAAUGGGACUGAGACACGGCCCAUACUCCUACGGGAGGCAGCAGUGGGGAAUCUUCCGCAAUGGGCGAAAGCCUGACGGAGCAACGCCGCGUGAGUGAAGAAGGUCUUCGGAUCGUAAAGCUCUGUUGUUGGGGACGAAAGGAAAAGGGAGGAAAUGCCCUUUUUAAGACGGUACCCGACGAGCAAGCCACGGCU
RNAcentral lists this ribosomal RNA (484 nucleotides) under Veillonellaceae bacterium oral taxon 132. Its description in RNAcentral is "bacterial SSU rRNA". It matches the Rfam family "Bacterial small subunit ribosomal RNA", at positions 28 to 498 of the family's 1533-position model. The record is from RNAcentral. Lineage: Bacteria; Bacillati; Bacillota; Negativicutes; Veillonellales; Veillonellaceae.